Molecule: unclassified non-coding RNA, 222 nt
Filed under: plant metagenome
Description: partial contains small subunit ribosomal RNA, internal transcribed spacer 1, and 5.8S ribosomal RNA
Source: RNAcentral
UCUCCGUAGGUGAACCUGCGGAGGGAUCAUUACAGAGUUCAUGCCCUCACGGGUAGAUCUCCCACCCCGUGUUAUUAUACUUUGUUGCUUUGGCAGGCCGCCCGCGUGGGCUACCGGCUCCAGCUGGUAAGUGCCUGCCAGAGGACCCCAAACUCUGAAUAUUUUAUUGUCUGAGUACUAUAUAAUAGUUUAAAACUUUCAACAACGGAUCUCUUGGUUCUG